RNAcentral lists this ribosomal RNA (480 nucleotides) under uncultured bacterium. RNAcentral describes it as "bacterial SSU rRNA". It matches the Rfam family "Bacterial small subunit ribosomal RNA", at positions 28 to 508 of the family's 1533-position model. The record is from RNAcentral.
GAUGAACGCUAGCGGCAGGCCUAAUACAUGCAAGUCGAACGGGUUGUUGCAGCAAUGCAACGAUCAGUGGCGCACGGGUGCGUAACGCGUAUGCAACCUGCCUUAAACUGGGGGAUAGCCUUCCGAAAGGGAGAUUAAUACCGCAUAAGAUCACACGAGGGCAUCUGAGAGUGAUUAAAGAUUUAUUGGUUUAAGAUGGGCAUGCGUGCCAUUAGCUAGUUGGUAGGGUAAUGGCCUACCAAGGCUACGAUGGCUAGGGGUUCUGAGAGGAUGAUCCCCCACACUGGUACUGAGAUACGGACCAGACUCCUACGGGAGGCAGCAGUAGGGAAUAUUGGGCAAUGGACGGAAGUCUGACCCAGCCAUGCCGCGUGCAGGAUGAAGGCCUUCUGGGUUGUAAACUGCUUUUAUCUAGGAAGAAAACGCCCAUGCGUGGGAAACUGACGGUACUAGAUGAAUAAGCACCGGCUAACUCCGUGC